RNAcentral lists this ribosomal RNA (200 nucleotides) under uncultured bacterium. RNAcentral's name for it is "partial 16S ribosomal RNA". It matches the Rfam family "Bacterial small subunit ribosomal RNA", at positions 524 to 721 of the family's 1533-position model. The record is from RNAcentral.
UACGUAGGGUGCGAGCGUUUAAUCGGAAUACUGGGCGUAAAGCGUGCGCAGGCGGCGCGUUUAAGACAGGUGUGAAAUCCCCGGGCUUAACCUCGGGACUGCAUUGGUGACUGGCAGGCUUUGAGUGUGGCAGAGGGAGGUAGAAUUCCACGUGUAGCAGUGAAAUGCGUAGAGAUGUGGAGGAAUACCGAUGGCGAAGG